Felis catus (domestic cat) is the source of this 621-nucleotide long non-coding RNA. RefSeq lists it as uncharacterized. The transcript is spliced from 3 exons. Lineage: Eukaryota; Metazoa; Chordata; Mammalia; Carnivora; Felidae. The record is from RefSeq and is a predicted model, not a curated record.
CUUUUCCUGUGCUCUCCGCCCUCUCUCUUUUCUCUCUCCACGGCUUUUCUCACUCCCAAUUCACCUCUCCGUGCCACGUACCUGCCGAGUUCUGUGGUUCAGGUUGUGCAGAUUAUUGUGUUAAUCCUCAGGAAAAAGACAUUGAAGAUUAAAUAUCAAGAGAUUUCACCUCUACUUGCAAGUUACACUGCUGCCAGACGACAGAUCACUGGCCCAUUUGGCUUAUAAAAGAUUUGCUCCUACUGUACUUUGCUCUACUGCAUGGAGAUCUUUUAUUAACAUCUAACUACAGCAGCCUUAUGUCUCUGGACUGCAAAUAAGAAUUACUCUGGGAGAGGUCUGGAAUUUGUUCCAUUAUAUACUGGAGUGGGGCCAACAGCUGACGACUUGAUUUUGAGUCUAGUGACAGAUUUAGUAUCUGUUUGCCCAAGAAACCAAGACAUUUGAAAUAUGUGCAAAGCCUGUACUAUUCCGUGAGAGCUGAGAUAUUAUUAUAACCUGAAACUUUAGUCAUCAUCUUCUAAGUUUGAAAACAAUUGGUGGUAUUGAAUGGGAACAUUAUGUGAGAGCUCACAUGCAUCUAAAAAGAAAAUGAAAUAAAAAUAUUGUUUUUUUUCCUCA